Molecule: long non-coding RNA, 658 nt
Organism: Neoarius graeffei (lesser salmon catfish)
Lineage: Eukaryota; Metazoa; Chordata; Actinopteri; Siluriformes; Ariidae
Exons: 2
Source: RefSeq, a predicted model, not a curated record
ACUGCGUAGCCGUUUCCAGUCAGUCGAGCUGAGGGAAGCCAAAGAGUUGGAGACUCCGUUUUUCUCUGCUCCACCUGCGAGCUAGAAACUUUGGAAAGAAAAUAUUUCUAAGUGUUUAGGACGUGUAAGUUCCUUUCUGUUACCGAGCGACCAGCUCCGUGACCUGAUGUAUGUUUUGAUGACCAGAAGCUUCGUUUCGUCGAGUUUUUCUUUUGUUGAAUUGUCUCGGUCAAGUUUUUGGGUUGGAUCCGAAUUCCGCGGAAGAUCUGAUGUCUUCAUUUGAUGGCGAGCCACCCGUUCGAGUGAUUCCUGUUGUCAUUCCCUAUGGCAAAAUCUGGUAGGAUUGUGGCCGGCACGUGUCACAUCAUCUGACUAUGACUGACUUGACUUAUUGACUGUUACGCUUAACAAACUGAACUAAGGAUUAACGCCUUGAACUGAACCUACCUGGAAAGAACUCUUUUUCUUUUUUGAAGAACAACUUAAAGGACACAACUUAAAGGAACUCCAUUGAACUGUUUUCUACAUUUAGUUAAAGGACUACUACCCAGCUUUUUCAAAGGACAAUUAUUUUAUUUUAUUCCUAAAGGGUUAAAUUUUAUUUUGGGUUAUUGUAAAUACUUUUCAAUUCUACUACUAAAAGAAAAGAAAAAAUGUA